Molecule: long non-coding RNA, 521 nt
Filed under: Capsella rubella
Lineage: Eukaryota; Viridiplantae; Streptophyta; Magnoliopsida; Brassicales; Brassicaceae
Description: long non-coding RNA (CRUB_LNC001925)
Source: RNAcentral
GUCGAACAAGAAAAACUUGAAAUCUUAUGUGGCGUAAAUCACAUAUAUAGCAGUGGGAAGAAAAAAGUAGAUUAUUUUUUUCCCCCAAAAUAGACUAAAGUAACAGACCUAAUUUUUUUUUUUCCUGGAAAGAAUUGGAGUAUAUAUAUAUAUUUUUUUUAAACCUCGAAGCCGACAAAAAACUAAGAAAAUAAUUAUAUAUACUGAAGAAAAGAAUAUUAUAAAAAAAAUACAUGAACAAGGAGAGAGAGAAAAAUGCGUUAUAAUAAAGAAGGAUAAAGCCCACUAAAGGUCAUCACUCAUCUAACUGUAUACUAUUUUUUUUUUUCGAGGCAAUACAUCAGUUUACCUGAUCUAGUAUUUUAAACUGAUCUAGUAUUUUAUUUUAUUCUCUCCAAGGUUUUGUAUAAUAUAGUUUUGUAUGAUACGUAGAAAUACGUAUAUAUAUAUAUAUAUAUGUCUGUCAAUACGUAGAAAUCUAAAGGGAACAAAUAAAACACAGCAGCUGUCUAACAGUAAAA